Molecule: ribosomal RNA, 403 nt
Filed under: bacterium
Lineage: Bacteria
Description: partial 16S ribosomal RNA
Rfam family: Bacterial small subunit ribosomal RNA
Source: RNAcentral
UGGGGAAUAUUGCACAAUGGGGGAAACCCUCAUGCAGCGACGCCGCGUGAACGAAGAAGGUAUUCGUAUCGUAAAGUUCUGUCCUAUGGGAAGAUAAUGACAGUACCAUAGAAGAAAGCUCCGGCUAAAUACGUGCCAGCAGCCGCGGUAAUACGUAUGGAGCGAGCGUUGUCCGGAAUUAUUGGGCGUAAAGGGUACGCAGGCGGUUUAAUAAGUCGAAUGUUAAAGAUCGGGGCUCAACCCCGCAAAGCAUUGGAAACUGAUAAACUUGAGUAGUGGAGAGGGAAGUGGAAUUCCUAGUGUAGUGGUGAAAUACGUAGAUAUUAGGAGGAAUACCAGUAGCGAAGGCGACUUUCUGGACACAAACUGACGCUGAGGUACGAAAGAGUGGGGAGCAAACAGG